UACGUAGGGGGCAAGCGUUGUCCGGAUUCAUUGGGCGUAAAGAGCGUGUAGGCGGUCAGGCAGGUCGGCUGUGAAAACUCGAGGCUCAACCUCGAGAUGUCGGCCGAAACCAUCUGGCUAGAGUCCGGAAGAGGAGAGUGGAAUUCCCGGUGUAGCGGUGAAAUGCGCAGAUAUCGGGAAGAACACCCGUGGCGAAGGCGGCUCUCUGGUACGGGACUGACGCUGAGACGCGAAAGCGUGGGGAGCGAACAGG
RNAcentral lists this ribosomal RNA (253 nucleotides) under uncultured bacterium. RNAcentral describes it as "partial 16S ribosomal RNA". It matches the Rfam family "Bacterial small subunit ribosomal RNA", at positions 524 to 776 of the family's 1533-position model. The record is from RNAcentral.